ACUGCCACACCCCCUGUCCCUUCCACGCGCCCGCCCGCCCGCUCUGUACCCCGCCUCUAAUUAAACGCCUCGCCUCAGCGCGAGGAGAGAAACGACGCUCCCGCGGGUUCGGAGUCGCUCGUGCCGGCGUCGGCGCGUGCCCCUCCCCAGAGCCGACCAAUCACGCGCCGGCGCAGAAGUGGGGCAGGGCGCGCGGGGUCGCGAGGUGCGCUCCCGCCGCGGGGACGUCCCCCUUGUUUUUCGCGCCGAAACGCCGCGUUGCGUGAAGGUCGUCGCCGGCCGCGUCCUUCCUCCAUCUGCCCCGCGCGCUGGAAAGGGAGUGGCGCGCGCAGGAUUCUCCGCGAUUUAAUUUGCCGCUUCGCGCCUCGGCGAGUCAUCCCGCGAGGCGGCCGGGCGCGCGCGCGUCCCGCCGUCCUUCGAGCGCGGACACAAGUAGGCCGCGCGCCUGCAUCGAGUCCUGGGAGCGCGUGUCGUGCGCGUCACCGGAAGUUGUGGAGCUGUUUGUCAAAUGAAGAGGCGUCUGUCCUGCCAGGGUCCCGUCCCAGAAGACUAAGAGAUGCCAGACUGCUUCUUGCCAAGGGGCCACGAACCCAGCGCCAGUCCUGCCCGCCAGGCUAUUAA
Molecule: long non-coding RNA, 621 nt
Filed under: Scleropages formosus (Asian bonytongue)
Lineage: Eukaryota; Metazoa; Chordata; Actinopteri; Osteoglossiformes; Osteoglossidae
Description: lncRNA (ENSSFOG00015029041.1)
Source: RNAcentral